UUCAGGGAACUUUGCCAGCAUGGAUGUGUUUGAUGGUACUCUGCUGGCUGGGAAGUUCAGAAGUGAAAUAGCCCCAGAAUAUGGCCAUCCCUCUUAUCCACAGUUUUACUUUCUGUCGUUUCAGUUACUUCCAUGCAACUGAUGGUCUAGAGGCAGAUGAUUCUCCUUCCGAUGUAUUGUCAGGAGGUAAAAAACAGACUAACACUACAUCACAAUGGCUAUGUCAUUUACCUCAUUCCAACUCAUCAUGUAGAUAUUUUAUCAUCUCCCAUCCUAACAGGAAAGGGGUGAUACAGAAGCUGUGCUGAAGGAUAAGAUUGACUCAGUCGUGGCAGAAGUAUGUGGGCAAAGAGCGUGAAGCAUUGGAGGAUCUGCACAAAGGCCUGAGCAACUCAAUAACAACGAACAGCUGAAGGAUGCUAAAAAUGGGAGAAGCUGGUAAACAAUGCAGAGCAUUGAAACUCCUGGUAAGGUGCUUGUACACCAUACUUUAAACAGUUUGAUUUCCCAGAAGAUGCCAUGUAUUCCAUUGUCAUGCUUUUUUUUUUUUUUAACAAAUGUGCUGUUCCUUUCAACACUUUACCUUUUUUGAAUUUUUUUUUUUUUUUUUUGCCUCAGUUGUGGCGUUUGUCACACUAUCUUGUAAAUCACAUACUUGUCUGUAUCCAUAGGCUAUGGUUUUGGGGGUUCAGGGGUAUUUCAUUUUAACCUUUCUAUCUCCAAACACCUAGAACAAUGGAUAGCACAUAGCAAAUGCCUGGCAAAUAUUUGUAGAACAAAUGUGUUCAUUUCCUACUGUCCGCUCUGCCUCAAUGCAUUUCAUUCAAUGCUAAGCUUGUUCUGCUCUUGAGAUGUCAAUCAUCCCCAGAGCCAGGCGGCAGUGUUAGACAUGGUGAUUGCUCUCCUAAGUGCCUUCACUUCCAGCUGGGAUUCUGGACCUGGCACUGAAGCCAAGCUACAAAUGACCUAAUUAGUCUUUUGGUUAUUUCCAAAAAUUUUGAGAAUUGAGAUGGCCAAAAACUGGGACAUGCGGAGUCUGAUGAAAGCUGAAAUGUUUAGGGUGCCAGAUGCAAGUCUUUUAGACAGCCUCAAUAGUUUCCAAAACAAAGUAGUUUGCAUUUUAAUUGUUUUCUGGAACUUUUAUCAACAAAAUAUGUUCAUUGACUAAUCAGAUCUUUGUACCAGAUUAGAAACUAACAGUGUGUUGGCCGCAAAAAUAAGAUACAGAAUCUUUCUUUUUGGCCCUGGUCUGAAAGAAUUUCUGAUAGAAUUCAGCCAGAUGCCGUGUAUCUCUUUCUAGAGUACAAUUUUGGGGCUAACUAAGAGUGAGCUGCCCUUGGAUCCUAUGCUUCUAAUCAAUGUCAGAGAGUGGAUGCUAAGGAGGCAGCCCUCCCAGAGGAGUCAGUACUUAAUGGAAUUUUGACAGGCUUUUAAUGCUCUUUUAGAAAGGCCCAUCUCUUGUUUGCGAGUCACAGUUUGUUGGUGAGUUUAAUGACUGAUGUCACAAAUAAAUGUACUAAUACCCUAUUGGUAUACUCCAGGGAAAAGCCAGCAACAAGACAUUUUUUGACUAAGACAACAUUCAAGGAGUGACUGAUGAAUUUAAAGUUUAGCACCAUGUAUUUAACAUAAUGAGUGACUGUGACUUAGAAACUAUACUCAAAUCUUUCGAAUGCCUCACAGAAGGCUAUGCCAUAAUACCGUGUAAGAAUAUCUCACAUGGGCACCUGGGUGGCUCAGUGAGUUAAAGCCUCUGCCUUCGGCUCAGGUCAUGAUUUAAGGGUCCUGGGAUUGAGUCCCGCAUCGGGCUCUCUGCUUAGCAGGGAGCCUGCUUCUCCCUCUCUCUCUGCCUAUUUGUGAUCUCUCU
This 1867-nucleotide long non-coding RNA is filed under the name Mustela putorius furo (domestic ferret). RNAcentral describes it as "lncRNA (ENSMPUG00000031739.1)". The record is from RNAcentral. Lineage: Eukaryota; Metazoa; Chordata; Mammalia; Carnivora; Mustelidae.